RNAcentral lists this unclassified non-coding RNA (347 nucleotides) under soil metagenome. RNAcentral's name for it is "partial contains 5.8S ribosomal RNA, internal transcribed spacer 2, and large subunit ribosomal RNA". The stretch from base 1 to 122 matches the Rfam family "5.8S ribosomal RNA", at positions 35 to 154 of the family's 154-position model. The record is from RNAcentral.
GAUGAAGAACGUAGCGAAAUGCGAUACGUAAUGUGAAUUGCAGAUCUCUCAGUGAAUCAUCGAGUCUUUGAACGCACAUUGCGCCCCCUGGUAUUCCGGGGGGCAUGCCUGUCCGAGCGUCAUUGCUGCCCUCAAGCACGGCUUGUGUGUUGGGCCUCCGUCCUCCUCCCGGGGGACGGGCCCGAAAGGCAGCGGCGGCACCGCGUCCGGUCCUCGAGCGUAUGGGGCUUCGUCACCCGCUCUUGUAGGCCCGGCCGGCGCUUGCCGACACAUCAAUCUUUUUUCCAGGUUGACCUCGGAUCAGGUAGGGAUACCCGCUGAACUUAAGCAUAUCAAUAAGCGGAGGA